Molecule: transfer RNA, 73 nt
Filed under: Acidobacteriota bacterium
Lineage: Bacteria; Pseudomonadati; Acidobacteriota
Also listed under: 1 other name
Description: Acidobacteria bacterium (anaerobic digester metagenome) tRNA-Ala
Rfam family: tRNA
About the family: Transfer RNA (tRNA) molecules are approximately 80 nucleotides in length. Their secondary structure includes four short double-helical elements and three loops (D, anti-codon, and T loops).
Source: RNAcentral
GGGCGGUUAGCUCAGCUGGGAGAGCGCGGCGUUCGCAACGCUGAGGCCGGGGGUUCGAGUCCCCUACCGUCCA